GGGCCCGUCGUCUAGUGGCUAGUACAGGGUUAACCUGUAGCUUCGAUGCCACCCUGACACGGUGGUGGUCCCGGGUUCAAAUCCCGGCGGGCCCA
RNAcentral lists this transfer RNA (95 nucleotides) under Infirmifilum uzonense. Its description in RNAcentral is "Thermofilum uzonense tRNA-Val". It matches the Rfam family "tRNA". From Rfam's summary of the family: Transfer RNA (tRNA) molecules are approximately 80 nucleotides in length. Lineage: Archaea; Thermoproteati; Thermoproteota; Thermoprotei; Thermofilales; Thermofilaceae. The record is from RNAcentral. RNAcentral also lists the same sequence under 1 other name.